GCUAGAUCUAGUCCUAACAAUUCAAUACUAAACUAUUCAUCAUAUCUACAAAACAUUCACUUAAGUCUUAGUAUAGGUGAUAGAACAGACAAACUCCUAGGCACAAUAGAGAAAGUACCGUGAGGGAACGUUGAAAGAUUCCAUCCUGUAAGCAAUAAAAAGCAAAGACUUCACCUUCUACCUUUUGCAUAAUGAUUUAGCUAGUCUAACCGGACAAAACGAAUUUAAGCCCGCCUUCCCGAAAUUAAGUGAGCUAUUGUAGAACAGUUAAUAGAACGAACUCGUCUGUGUAGCAAAACAGUGAGAUGAUUUUACAAUAGGGGUGAAAAGCCAAUCGAACUUAAUGAUAGCUGGUUGUCCAAAAAAUGAAUUUAAGUUCAACUUUAAAUUUAACUUAAGUACUUUUAAACACCAUUUAAAUUUAAAUGUUAUUCAAAAGAGGGACAACUCUUUUGAUAUGUAGACAAACUUUUAUAGAGGAUAAUGGAAUUUACACAACACAUUGUAGGCCUAAAAGCAGCCAUCAACUAAGAAAGCGUUAAAGCUCAAACUUAUCUAAUAUUUAAUACCCACAAUCUAUCAAAAUCCCUAAUUACAUAUUGGACAAUUCUAUAACUACUUAGAAGAUAUAAUGCUAAUAUGAGUAACCUGAAUUUAUUCUCCUUGCACAAGCAUAAAUACAGAUCGGAAUAACCGCUUACACUUAACCAAAUAAAUAACUAAAUCCAUACACUAGCAGUCUAUUACACACUUUGUUAGCCCAACCCAGGUGUGCAUACAAAGGAAAGAUUAAAAGGAAUAAAAGGAACUCGGCAAAUACGAACCCCGCCUGUUUACCAAAAACAUCACCUCUAGCAUUAACCAGUAUUAGAGGCACUGCCUGCCCGGUGAGUUAUGACUUUAACGGCCGCGGUAUCCUGACCGUGCAAAGGUAGCAUAAUCACUUGUCUUUUAAUUGGAGACUAGUAUGAAUGGCAUCACGAGGGCUCGACUGUCUCUUAUUCCUAAUCAGUGAAAUUGACCUCCCCGUGCAGAGGCGGGGAUAUCUAUACAAGACGAGAAGACCCUGUGGAGCUUAAGACACAUAACUCAACAAAUACAAAUAUUCAACCUACUGGAAUAAACUGUAUAUCUAACUGAGUAAUUGUCUUUGGUUGGGGUGACCUCGGAGCAUAAAAUAACCUCCGAAUGAUUAUAACCUAGAUCAACUAAUCCAAGUGUAAUAAUACCAGUAAUUGACCCAUAAUUUGAUCAACGGAACAAGUUACCCCAGGGAUAACAGCGCAAUCCUAUUUGAGAGCCCAUAUCGAAAAUUAGGGUUUACGACCUCGAUGUUGGAUCAGGACAUCCAAAUGGUGCAACCGCUAUUAAAGGUUCGUUUGUUCAACGAUUAAAGUCCUACGUGAUCUGAGUUCAGACCGGAGAAAUCCAGGUCGGUUUCUAUCUGUAAAUUAAUUUCUCCCAGUACGAAAGGACAAGAGAAAUAGGGCCAACACCACUAACAAGCCCUAAAACUAACAUAUGAAUCAAUCUAAAUAUAUUAAUUUAACUAAUUCAUACCCAAGAUCAGGGUU
Molecule: ribosomal RNA, 1574 nt
Filed under: Dasyurus hallucatus (northern quoll)
Lineage: Eukaryota; Metazoa; Chordata; Mammalia; Dasyuromorphia; Dasyuridae
Description: 16S ribosomal RNA
Rfam family: Bacterial large subunit ribosomal RNA
Source: RNAcentral